Molecule: long non-coding RNA, 1747 nt
Filed under: Bemisia tabaci
Lineage: Eukaryota; Metazoa; Arthropoda; Insecta; Hemiptera; Aleyrodidae
Description: lncRNA ENSASIAIIG008788
Source: RNAcentral
UUUGGGUGAUAUCAGUUUUCUUCAUUUUCCUCUAUAUUACUGAAAACGUUACAUCAAAACAGAGAGGGGAAGAAGAAAAAUGGUAGAAAUGCAUUAGUCAAGCUAAAUUCGAGUCAGAUGCAAGCAAGGUGAGCAUGAGAGUGGUGGAAAGCCAUUAUUUUUUUUGGUCGAUUAAAAAACGCCAUCACGCAAAAACACAUUUUUGAGCGAGGUCUCCGUAGCCCUAUGUGUCAAACAUUGUGACUAUUCUCAUACCGAGACGAUAUUUGCUUGCUUCCCAGUGCGCACUUACCCACCAAGAUGACAAGAACUCAUAAUCAAUAUGCUAGAAAUAAAUUUGUCUUAGGAAUAAAGUCCCAAAAAUGUGAUUUCUCGCGCUACAGUUUCUUCGUGUUGGCUUCGUUGAUCCUCUAUCAUCAUGGGGAAGCGAUGGAAUCAAGAGGCUGGAUCCAAGUGAUCAAUGCACUUCAAGCCGCGAAUCAACAAUGCAAUUACAUAACGGCUGAAACGGAUUGGGCGCUGAAGGCAGCUGCAGCGCAGACCUGCGAUGAGGUCUUCAAGGCUCUGGACCAGUUCGGCCUAAACAUCUGCCACGGAUGGUUCGAAGCCAAGUGCCGCUAUGUCCCCGGCUACCCCCUAUACCAAUGCACCGUCAAGACGCCUGCUUCAUGUGUGUUAUUGGAUGCUAUGCAAACACCCAAGACAGUAUUCGACUGUGCGCCAGGCCUCCAAACCUUGGGUCAAGCAGACAGACCUCCUUCUGCACCUCCCUCGCCCAGCUCUGGUAGGAGAUCGCGCGGGAAGGGUAAAGAGCCUGCCUCGGAACCAACGAAGAGGCGUAAUUCUGGAGUAAGAAGUCCACCCCGUACCGGAGGAUCUUCAUACGCUGGAGGUUCUUCAACUACUAGGGGCUCUCCACCUACUAGGGGCUCCUCACCUACUAGGGGCUCCUCACCUACUAGAGGCUUUCCACACGCUGGAGGCUCUCCAUUUCAUACGGACUCUCCAUUCCCUGCGGGUUCUCCAUUUCCAAUGGGCUUUUCUCUUCCCGGAAGUCCAUUUUAUCCGACGGAUCCUCCGGGUUCUGUGCCUGGACUCGCUAUGGAUCCCACGUUUGAUGUGUCUGCUUACGGUGUUGCGGAUUCGCUUCCUGGAAGUCCACGAUAUGCUCCGUACCCUCAAACCACUCCGCAGUCUGGACUCGCUGUAGAUCCUUCUUUCCGUGUGGAGGAUUUAGAUGAAGCAGAUCUAUCGUUCUACUGCUGGAGCCCCCGAGGCGAAGCCUUAAAUUCGGGUCUCGCUGGUGGAGAUGGAACUGGUGGAGAUGGAACUGGCGCCCCCGCAGGUGUAGCUGAUGUGGCGGGAGUUGAAGCACAAGGCCAAACGAAGUUUCGGUGCCCCGAGUGCGGAGGAUAUUUUAAACAUGCGAACUCUUUAAGGCAACACGUGUCAAUGCAUGAAGCGAUGCGCCAAGGAAGGACUACAUGCCCGUGCGGUGUUGUAUGUACCACGACGCAGGCUCUCAAAACUCAUUUGAAAUCCGUGCACAAAAUCCAGUUUGAGACGGGACCCAAAAGUUACGUAUGUGAUGUGUGCGGAGUGGAUUUUAAGGAUACGAAGAGGCUCUCUAAACACAAACCAACUCACACUGGAGAAAACAAACUGCUUUGUUUGCGGGAGUCCCUACAAUUCCAUAAGUGCGAGGAAUAGGCAUAUAAGGAAGAAACAUCCGGAGGUUGGCUUAUAA